UACAGAGGGUGCAAGCGUUAAUCGGAAUUACUGGGCGUAAAGCGCGCGUAGGUGGUUUGGUAAGUCGGAUGUGAAAUCCCCGGGCUCAACCUGGGAACUGCAUUCGAAACUGCUUGACUAGAGUUUGAGAGAGGGAAGUGGAAUUCCACAUGUAGCGGUGAAAUGCGUAGAUAUCCGGAGGAACACCGGUGGCGAAGGCGGCUUCCUGGACCGACACUGACGCUGAGGCGCGAAAGCUAGGGGAGCAAACGGG
RNAcentral lists this ribosomal RNA (253 nucleotides) under uncultured bacterium. RNAcentral describes it as "partial 16S ribosomal RNA". It matches the Rfam family "Bacterial small subunit ribosomal RNA", at positions 524 to 776 of the family's 1533-position model. The record is from RNAcentral.